CUUUUAUCUGGGGAUUUUAGAAGAGAAUCGUAUGAGGGGAACGUGAAAAGGAGCGUGAGUUUUUAAAGAGAGCGAGGUGGCUUAAACCCAGGGAAUCGGGGGGAGGAGGGGGAGACUAACAAAGAUUACACGUGUGCUGCAUGCGGACCGUUUAAUAAUCCGGUUUCUGUUAUUGCAAAUCAGGAGAAGAAUCGAAGGAGCCGCGUUUUGCAGCUGAGCUGUUCUGUGAGCUGCACGGAUCAGUUGAUGUUUGUCCAGGGGACGGAGCUGUGCAGAUAAGAGGAGGCUGAAAGAGAGCCGGGGAGAAGACGUUAAUGGGCAGAGGAUGCUGUCGGUUAAAAUGGUGCAUACAAAUGGCGCUGUCUUGGCAGCGCAGGGGGAAGAUUUAUGGGCCCGCUGUCCUAUAUUGCUGUAAACAAUGCAGAGUGAAAUGAAAGGAGCAGAGUUUGCAGACUGCACUUCAUAAGUGAGGAGAAGACGCACACUGUUUGUUUCCUAAACAUCUUGUGACUUGCGUGUUUCUGCAUUAACAUGGAGGAUUAAUUUGCGCUAACUGUAAAUCAGAAUGCGGGCUUAACAUAAAUAAUGCAGCUCGGAGCAAACAAACAACUUUGGGGUCUGCAUGGAAAAAAUAAAACAAUUAACAUUGAA
Nothobranchius furzeri (turquoise killifish) is the source of this 651-nucleotide long non-coding RNA. RefSeq lists it as uncharacterized. The record is from RefSeq and is a predicted model, not a curated record. NCBI's taxonomy places the organism in Eukaryota, Metazoa, Chordata, Actinopteri, Cyprinodontiformes, Nothobranchiidae.